AUUGAACGCUGGCGGCAGGCCUCACACAUGCAAGUCGAGCGGAGCGGCGGACGGGCGAGUAAUGCCUAGGAAUCUGCCUGGUAGUGGGGGAUAACGUCCGGAAACGGGCGCUAAUACCGCAUACUAUCCGUGGCGCAUAGGUCGAAUUAGCUAGUUGGUGGGUUAAAGGCCUACCAAGGUGAAGAUCAGUAACUGGUCUGUGAGGAUGAUCAGUCACACUGGAACUGAUACACGGUCCAGACUCCGACGGGAGGCAGCAGGGGUGAAUAUGGGACAAUGGGCGAAAGCCUGAUCCAGCCAUGCCGCGUGUGUGAAGAAGGUCUUCGGAUUGUAAAGCACUUUAAGUUGGGAGGCGUUACCAACAGAAGAAGCACCGGCUAACUCCGUGCCAGCCGCGGCGGUAAUAC
RNAcentral lists this ribosomal RNA (407 nucleotides) under uncultured bacterium. RNAcentral describes it as "partial 16S ribosomal RNA". It matches the Rfam family "Bacterial small subunit ribosomal RNA", at positions 30 to 526 of the family's 1533-position model. The record is from RNAcentral.